RNAcentral lists this transfer RNA (72 nucleotides) under Camelus bactrianus (Bactrian camel). It matches the Rfam family "tRNA". From Rfam's summary of the family: Transfer RNA (tRNA) molecules are approximately 80 nucleotides in length. Lineage: Eukaryota; Metazoa; Chordata; Mammalia; Artiodactyla; Camelidae. RNAcentral also lists the same sequence under 2 other names. The record is from Rfam by way of RNAcentral.
GAGGAUAUAGCUCAGUGGUAGAGUACACGCUUAGCAUGCACAAGGUCCUGGAUUCAAUCCCCAGUAUCUGCA